This 101-nucleotide small nucleolar RNA is filed under the name Genlisea aurea. Its description in RNAcentral is "Small nucleolar RNA Z152/R70/R12/". It matches the Rfam family "Small nucleolar RNA Z152/R70/R12/". From Rfam's summary of the family: Z152 is a member of the C/D class of snoRNA which contain the C (UGAUGA) and D (CUGA) box motifs. Most of the members of the box C/D family function in directing site-specific 2'-O-methylation of substrate RNAs. Lineage: Eukaryota; Viridiplantae; Streptophyta; Magnoliopsida; Lamiales; Lentibulariaceae. The record is from Rfam by way of RNAcentral.
UCUGCAAUGAUGAGAUAAAGCACCAUUUGGAGGUGUUUAUUGGGCAGUGGAUUCAUAUCCGUGAGCCUAUCAAAUAACGACUUCUCCUUCCACUGAGCAAA